UUCAAGAAUAAUAUAAAAUAACCGUGACUUGACCGAAAAACCAAAAAAAAUAAAUGACCAAGGCACCAGCAUGUCAGGAUGGCCGAGCGGUCUAAGGCGCUGCGUUCAGGUCGCAGUCUCCACUGGAGGCGUGGGUUCGAAUCCCACUUCUGACAGGAAUCUGUUUUCUCGUGACCAUUGUGGGAUUGAUCAAAGGUUUUGUCGAUCGACCAAUGUCUUCGAGAACCAAAACUUGAGCAAGAGACCAAAAAAAAAUAAAUGACCAAGGCACCAGCAUGUCAGGAUGGCCGAGCGGUCUAAGGCGCUGCGUUCAGGUCGCAGUCUCCACUGGAGGCGUGGGUUCGAAUCCCACUU
Molecule: long non-coding RNA, 354 nt
Organism: Hippocampus zosterae (dwarf seahorse)
Lineage: Eukaryota; Metazoa; Chordata; Actinopteri; Syngnathiformes; Syngnathidae
Exons: 2
Source: RefSeq, a predicted model, not a curated record